Molecule: ribosomal RNA, 1371 nt
Filed under: uncultured bacterium
Lineage: Bacteria
Description: bacterial SSU rRNA
Rfam family: Bacterial small subunit ribosomal RNA
Source: RNAcentral
GAUGAACGCUGGCGGCGUGCCUAAUACAUGCAAGUCGAGCGAACGGACGAGAAGCUUGCUUCUCUGAUGUUAGCGGCGGACGGGUGAGUAACACGUGGAUAACCUACCUAUAAGACUGGGAUAACUUCGGGAAACCGGAGCUAAUACCGGAUAAUAUUUUGAACCGCAUGGUUCAAAAGUGAAAGACGGUCUUGCUGUCACUUAUAGAUGGAUCCGCGCUGCAUUAGCUAGUUGGUAAGGUAACGGCUUACCAAGGCAACGAUGCAUAGCCGACCUGAGAGGGUGAUCGGCCACACUGGAACUGAGACACGGUCCAGACUCCUACGGGAGGCAGCAGUAGGGAAUCUUCCGCAAUGGGCGAAAGCCUGACGGAGCAACGCCGCGUGAGUGAUGAAGGUCUUCGGAUCGUAAAACUCUGUUAUUAGGGAAGAACAUAUGUGUAAGUAACUGUGCACAUCUUGACGGUACCUAAUCAGAAAGCCACGGCUAACUACGUGCCAGCAGCCGCGGUAAUACGUAGGUGGCAAGCGUUAUCCGGAAUUAUUGGGCGUAAGCGCGCGUAGGCGGUUUUUUAAGUCUGAUGUGAAAGCCCACGGCUCAACCGUGGAGGGUCAUUGGAAACUGGAAAACUUGAGUGCAUAUUAGGAAAGUGGAAUUCCAUGUGUAGCGGUGAAAUGCGCAGAGAUAUGGAGGAACACCAGUGGCGAAGGCGACUUUCUGGUCUGUAACUGACGCUGAUGUGCGAAAGCGUGGGGAUCAAACAGGAUUAGAUACCCUGGUAGUCCACGCCGUAAACGAUGAGUGCUAAGUGUUAGGGGGUUUCCGCCCCUUAGUGCUGCAGCUAACGCAUUAAGCACUCCGCCUGGGGAGUACGACCGCAAGGUUGAAACUCAAAGGAAUUGACGGGGACCCGCGCAAGCGGUGGAGCAUGUGGUUUAAUUCGAAGCAACGCGAGGAACCUUACCAAAUCUUGACAUCCUUUGACAACUCUAGAGAUAAAGCCUUCCCCUUCGGGGGACAAAGUGACAGGUGGUGCAUGGUUGUCGUCAGCUCGUGUCGUGAGAUGUUGGGUUAAGUCCCGCAACGAGCGCAACCCUUAAGCUUAGUUGCCAUCAUUAAGUUGGGCACUCUAAGUUGACUGCCGGUGACAAACCGGAGGAAGGUGGGGAUGACGUCAAAUCAUCAUGCCCCUUAUGAUUUGGGCUACACACGUGCUACAAUGGACAAUACAAAGGGCAGCGAAACCGCGAGGUCAAGCAAAUCCCAUAAAGUUGUUCUCAGUUCGGAUUGUAGUCUGCAACUCGACUACAUGAAGCUGGAAUCGCUAGUAAUCGUAGAUCAGCAUGCUACGGUGAAUACGUUCCCGGGUCU